Molecule: ribosomal RNA, 433 nt
Filed under: uncultured bacterium
Lineage: Bacteria
Description: partial 16S ribosomal RNA
Rfam family: Bacterial small subunit ribosomal RNA
Source: RNAcentral
AACGAACGCUGGCGGCAUGCCUAACACAUGCAAGUCGAACGAGACCUUCGGGUCUAGUGGCGCACGGGUGCGUAACGCGUGGGAACCUGCCCUUAGGUUCGGAAUAACUCCCCGAAAGGGGUGCUAAUACCGGAUAAUGUCUUCGGACCAAAGAUUUAUCGCCUUUGGAUGGGCCCGCGUUGGAUUAGCUAGUUGGUAGGGUAAAAGCCUACCAAGGCGACGAUCCAUAGCUGGUCUGAGAGGAUGAUCAGCCACACUGGGACUGAGACACGGCCCAGACUCCUACGGGAGGGAGCAAUGGGGAAUAUUGGACAAUGGGCGAAAGCCUGAUCCAGCAAUGCCGCGUGAGUGAUGAAGGCCUUAGGGUUGUAAAGCUCUUUUACCCGGGAUGAUAAUGACAGUACCGGGAGAAUAAGCUCCGGCUAACUCCGUG